AACCGCGGUUAGACGAGAGGCCCUAGUUGAUUAACCCACGGCGUAAAGGGUGGUUAGGGAAACAAGAGAUAAAGCUGAAUGGCCCCUUGGCUGUCAUACGCUCCUGGGAGCCCGAAGUCCACACACGAAAGUAGCUUUAAGAACUACCUGAACCCACGAAAGCUAAGGAA
Molecule: ribosomal RNA, 170 nt
Filed under: Barilius sp. CBM ZF 11367
Lineage: Eukaryota; Metazoa; Chordata; Actinopteri; Cypriniformes; Danionidae
Description: partial 12S rRNA
Source: RNAcentral